Molecule: long non-coding RNA, 1324 nt
Organism: Gasterosteus aculeatus aculeatus (three-spined stickleback)
Lineage: Eukaryota; Metazoa; Chordata; Actinopteri; Perciformes; Gasterosteidae
Source: Ensembl
CGUGUGCGUGUGUACGCAACCGCUGGUACGUGUGCGUGUGUACGCAACCGUUGGUGCGUGUGCCCGUUGGUGCGUGUGCGUGUGUACGCAGCCGUUGGUGCGUAUGUGCUGCCUCACCACGUCAUUUAAAUCCGAGUUGACCCCUAAACGCACAGAGCUGCUCCCCAUCACGGCACCACGAGUAUUAGUGGAUACUGUUUAUUGGUGGAGUAGAAGGUCAAGCUUGGCCUAACUAGUAACUAGUAACUAGUAACUCAAAGUGUCAAAUAAAUGAUGAGAGAGACAAAUAUUUCUAGAAGCAUAAAUCCCCAUAAAAAGAAAAUACUUCAGUGAAAUAGGCUGUAAGCCUAAAAAUGAUACCUGAGUAAAUGUUCUCAGUAAUAUUGCAGCACUUUUAGUUAAUAAAACGUCAUUUUAGUACAUUUAAAACUAACCAAACCUUUUUCUAGAGACUUUUUAAGUGACGUUGUGUAUCGUUUGUGUUUCCGCCUUCACACUCAGAGUCCAACAUAGAAGAGCGAGAGCAGAAUGUAUUGUGAGUUACUUGUGAAGGACAUUGGACCCCCCAGACCACCGGACCGCCCUUUCAAACCAUUCAGCGCUGAGAUACCUCGAUUCAUCCAAAGCAUAUAGAAUAGCAUUAUUUUUAUAUUUUGAUUCUUUUCUUUUUCUACCAACGGAAUUUAUAUUUGAGAUAUUUGUAUAUUUUUUGUGUAAAUUCACAAAAAGCCACAUUGCAUGUGUUGAAAUGUGGAAUUCUAUAUGCAAGAACCAUGAAGUGUUUCCUUUUGUGGGACGUCCCGUCCUUGAAAAAGACCAUUUUAUUAGUGCUGCAUCACACAAUCAGGUAUUUACUUCAUACUUGAAAUGACUUGACGUGUGUGGUGAUCCACACAUCGACCCCCCUCUUUAUAACGGGAAGGAACAUAGUUGGCUGUUGAAGUACUUUGACUUCCUCGUUCCGUUUGGGGGCCGAUGAACAGCCAAUCCGCUCGCAGUAACUCGUGCACGUGGUUUGGCACGUCGUCAUUUCCAGCAACGAUAAAUAUUGUUUUUUAAACAAUAUUUACGAUACGACAAGAAUUCUUCCUGUUAGCAUUCCAAAAAAGGAAGCGUGGCGCCGCCCGCUGUGCUUCGUCUGUGCCUUCAGUUUGUGGCGUCUUCGUUUUGUCUCCUGGUUAAAGAAUCGAUCCGUCAGCACACGUCGCUCUAUUUUAAAUCUAUUGAUAUGUUUCACUGUUGAACUUUGAAUCUAUGAAGAUUAGAUUUCAUAAAUUAGAUGUACUUGAAUUGAGAUGCCAUUAAAGAUAUUUGACAAAUACCA